UACGUAGGGUGCAAGCGUUAAUCGGAAUUACUGGGCGUAAAGCGUGCGCAGGCGGCUUUGCAAGACAGAUGUGAAAUCCCCGGGCUUAACCUGGGAACUGCAUUUGUGACUGCAUGGCUGGAGUGCGGCAGAGGGGGAUGGAAUUCUGCGUGUAGCAGUGAAAUGCGUAGAUAUGCGGAGGAACACCGAUGGCGAAGGCAAUCCCCUGGGCCUGCACUGACGCUCAUGCACGAAAGCGUGGGGAGCAAACGGG
Molecule: ribosomal RNA, 253 nt
Filed under: uncultured bacterium
Lineage: Bacteria
Description: partial 16S ribosomal RNA
Rfam family: Bacterial small subunit ribosomal RNA
Source: RNAcentral